GCCAUUGGUUCUUGAAAAAUAUAACUUAUAAAUGCCUCAUACAAUUUAUACAUGUUUCAUGAGCUGUCGUACCCCAGGUGUCAAUAUUUCCCUUGUCAAUAUUGGCACCCCAUUUGGAAUUCCCUCCUUUGUAGGCGUAUUGUCUUCUUAAAUGAUUCAGAGAUUAGAUUAGCGCAUAGAUGAACGGUCUGUAGUAAACUAAUGUUGUGUUUCAUACCACGACAUAUACGACAUUGUAAUUACAGGGUAGCACAACUCCCGGGUGCGCUACACUCUAUGAGCUCUGGCCAUCACGGAUUUGUUUGGGAGCCAAAUAAGAACCCGGGCUGUGACAAACAAUGGUAGCGAUGAAAGGCGAGGGGAGGGUUGGCUAAAUGCAAAUAUCCACUUUGUGCUGUUGAGAGAACCUCCUCCAACACUGACAACUGGCAAUUUCCAUCCCAAGAAUCCUACACUGUAGGCUGAGAAUAAAUGCAUCUACAAUUCUGCCACGUCCCUUCUUUACAGCGAAGUUACAACUUCUUGUAACUACGAUUUAAUUCACAACUUUGAAACGUGUUCGGUUCAUUCCAUCGAGCAAGAGUUGGACAACGGUCAGUGAAGAUGGACAUUUGAUGACCUCGGGUGUGUCGCGGGAGGGACAGGAAGCGUCUGUGCACCUGUGAGAACUAAACCAAAAAGUAAAACAAUAAUAGUGUUUGAGACAAGAGGCAGAAACACAGCGCAGCUUCGUUUAGAGACGCUAAGCCUUUCUAAACGUGAUUAUCCUUAGCCCGUCGAUACGCUGGCUUUCAUUCAAGACAUGCAUGAGAAAGGCUUUGCGACACAAUGGAUCAGUGGGAGCUUGUCUGCUAUUAUAGAGGCACUGGGAAAGAGAGGAGGACUCUAGACGCACUGGGAAAGAGAGGAGGAAUCUUUCGUGAAUAUUGAUAUUGUCAUGAGAGAGAGAGAGACAGAGAGUGAAUGACUGACAUGGAUAGAACACAUUACAGAUCAGUGGAUGCUGCGGUCAGGAAGUCGAGUAAUUCAUCUAUUUAAAAACAUUUUGUGGAAAAUGCCUCAUACCUGACAAUUAUAAAUAAUAAAUUAAUGUUGUAAAUUAGUCCACAAGCUUGUCAAGUUACAAUUAAUUUACAGUGCAUUUCACAACAUACUUUACAGAGAAAGUAAGAAUUUUCUCCAAACAAUUUGUUAGUAAUCUGCAAACAAAAAUUGGCUUUGGGGUUGAAUGCUACUGUUGAAAUGAACUCUAUCCCUGCAGGAAGACAUCAAAGCAGACUCGACAUGAGGGCUUUCUUGACAACAAUUGCCCCAUUCUACUACCCUACUACCCUACCCCUGGCCUGGCCUGGCCUGGCCACCCCCACACUCCCCAUCCCCUGUUUCCACUUCAUUAAGCCCCAAGCUCCUGAGUCCAAUCUGGAGGGAAAAUGCUUCACUAAUUCUAAUGUCAGUCCCAAAUGGCUCCCUGUUUAGUGCACUAUGUUUAACCACUACCCAUAGGAAAACCAUAUAUGGAAUACGGUGCCAUUUGGAAACACGUUAAGACUCCUUUUCCCAACAAAUGAGGAAGACAUUUUGUCUCUCUGCUUUCAUUUGAGUCAGACCCUGACAAGCUGUCAACAGUUGUACUUUCCCCUCCUCUCAUUUACUGACCAGCAUAUUGUUGGGGAAACGGAGUGAGCGAAACAGGACACAGAGAGUUGAAUUGUGAAGCGAUGGAUGGGGAAGAAGACUCCUGCUGGGUGAUUCCCAGUGUCCCAAAUGGCACCCUAUUCUCUGUUGGGCCCUAUGGGUUCUAGUCUAAAUUAGUGCACUAUAUAGGGAAUAGGGUGCCAUUUGGGAUGUAGACCGAGAGCAUAUUCCCC
Oncorhynchus tshawytscha (Chinook salmon) is the source of this 1868-nucleotide long non-coding RNA. Lineage: Eukaryota; Metazoa; Chordata; Actinopteri; Salmoniformes; Salmonidae. The record is from Ensembl.